GACGUAGGGCGCGAGCGUUGUCCGGAUUUAUUGGGCGUAAAGAGCUCGUAGGCGGCUCGUUGCGUCGGCUGUGAAAACCCGCAGCUCAACUGUGGGCUUGCAGCCGAUACGGGCGGGCUGGAGUUCGGUAGGGGAGACUGGAAUUCCUGGUGUAGCGGUGAAAUGCGCAGAUAUCAGGAGGAACACCGGUGGCGAAGGCGGGUCUCUGGGCCGACAUUGACGCUGAGGAGCGAAAGCGUGGGGAGCGAACAGG
RNAcentral lists this ribosomal RNA (253 nucleotides) under uncultured bacterium. RNAcentral's name for it is "partial 16S ribosomal RNA". It matches the Rfam family "Bacterial small subunit ribosomal RNA", at positions 524 to 776 of the family's 1533-position model. The record is from RNAcentral.